This 553-nucleotide unclassified non-coding RNA is filed under the name Hevea brasiliensis (rubber tree). The record is from RNAcentral. Lineage: Eukaryota; Viridiplantae; Streptophyta; Magnoliopsida; Malpighiales; Euphorbiaceae.
CGAGAAGCAAGAGGGACUCAAAUUCCAGCAUAGCGAGCUUAAUGAUGUCAUUGUCUGUGAAUAUGAGCCACUGCUUCCUCAGCAAGAGAAGUCUACACUUGAGAUAUUGUUCUUCAACCUAAGAUGGAAGAGAAUCAUGGUGUUGAUGAUUGUAUGGUGUUCUUUCUUGAUCCUCCAAAUAAUCAAGAAUGAUACAAAAAUUUGCAGCCCCUUGUACUGGGUGAUCAACAUCUUACAGUUGCCGGUGGCUUUUAGCGUGUUUGGAUGGGAGGCGGCGCGGCUGUGGCGGGAGAGCCAAGCACGAAGGAUGCGUGGGGAAUGGGAAUGUGUCUGCGAGGCGACGAUUGAGUGGACAGGCCCUCAGCUUGUUUUCUGUGCCUUCUGCGGGCUGGUAGGUGGCACUGUCGGCGGUCUCCUUGGCUCUGGAGGAGGGUUUAUACUCGGUCCUCUCCUCCUCGAGAUCGGGGUCAUUCCUCAGGUCGCGAGUGCAACUGCAACAUUCGUGAUGAUGUUCUCAUCGUCUCUUUCCGUCGUGGAAUUCUACUUUCUUAAG